AUUGAACGCUGGCGGCAGGCUUAACACAUGCAAGUCGAGCGGGGUGAUGGUGCUUGCACUAUCACUUAGCGGCGGACGGGUGAGUAAUGCUUAGGAAUCUGCCUAUUAGUGGGGGGCAACAUCUCGAAGGGGAUGCUAAUACCGCAUACGUCCUACGGGAGAAAGCAGGGGAUCACUUGUGACCUUGCGCUAAUAGAUGAGCCUAAGUCGGAUUAGCUGGUUGGUGGGGUAAAGGCCUACCAAGGCGACGAUCUGUAGCGGGUCUGAGAGGAUGAUCCGCCACACUGGGACUGAGACACGGCCCAGACUCCUACGGGAGGCAGCAGUGGGGAAUAUUGGACAAUGGGGGGAACCCUGAUCCAGCCAUGCCGCGUGUGUGAAGAAGGCCUUAUGGUUGUAAAGCACUUUAAGCGAGGAGGAGGCUCUUUUGGUUAAUACCCAAGAUGAGUGGACGUUACUCGCAGAAUAAGCACCGGCUAACUCUGUGCCAGCCGCCGCAGUAA
Molecule: ribosomal RNA, 503 nt
Filed under: uncultured bacterium
Lineage: Bacteria
Description: partial 16S ribosomal RNA
Rfam family: Bacterial small subunit ribosomal RNA
Source: RNAcentral